AAACAUAGACUGAAAUUAACACAUUCUAUCCGCCCGGCAACUACGGACACUAGUCUGAAAGCCAAAGGACCUGGCGGUGCUUCACAUCCAUCUAGAGGAGCCUGUCCUAUAACCGAUAAUCCCCGUUAAACCUCACCCCCCCUUGCUCCUGUCCCGCCUAUAUACCGCCGUCGUCAGCUUACACUGAGAAGGGAUAAAAGUAAGCAAAACUAGCAAAGCCCAGAACGUCAGGUCGAGGUGCAGCUCAUGGGAGGGGCAAGAGAUGGGCUACAUUUGCUCGCUUAGAGCAAAUACAGAUACCUCGUUGAAACACGAGAUUGAAGGAGGAUUUAGUAGUAAGCAGGGAACAGAGCGCCCU
RNAcentral lists this ribosomal RNA (358 nucleotides) under Chascanopsetta lugubris (pelican flounder). Its description in RNAcentral is "partial 12S ribosomal RNA". It matches the Rfam family "Bacterial small subunit ribosomal RNA", at positions 837 to 1360 of the family's 1533-position model. Lineage: Eukaryota; Metazoa; Chordata; Actinopteri; Pleuronectiformes; Bothidae. The record is from RNAcentral.